RNAcentral lists this long non-coding RNA (1010 nucleotides) under Salvator merianae (Argentine black and white tegu). Its description in RNAcentral is "lncRNA (ENSSMRG00000001813.1)". The record is from RNAcentral. Lineage: Eukaryota; Metazoa; Chordata; Lepidosauria; Squamata; Teiidae.
CGGAUUUUGAUGGACUCAGAAGGAGGGUGGGAAGGAUGAAAUGGUUGAAUGUACUAAAGGAUAGAAAUGUCCAAGAAGGAUGGGAUACUUUGCGAAAUGCAAUACUAGAUGCACAAUCUUUAACAAUUCCUCAAAGAAAGAAGAACGGAAGCAUCUAAAGAGACCAGGGUGGAUAAACCCAAAACUUAAAAACUUGCUAAAGAGGAAAAAAGAAAUGUUCAAGAAAUGGAAGGAGGGGUAUAUAUCUAAAGAAGAAUAUAAUGUAGUCUGCACAAACUGCAGGGCAAGUAUCAGAAAAGCUAAAGCUAGAAAUGAAUUGAGGCUUGCAAGAGAGACUAAAAACAAUAAAAAGGGGUUUUGGGGAUAUGUCAAAAGCAAAAGAAAAGUUAAAGAGGCUAUAGGAUGUUUACAGAGUGAAAANGGUGAAUUGAUAAAAAAUGAUAUUGAGAAGGCUGAGCUUCUGAACUCCUAUUUUGUAUCUAUUUUCUCUAAGAAAGAUAGCGUAACAGCGACUGACCUUCGUUGUGCUAGUGAAGGAAUAAGAGAAUCAAAGCACAUAAUCGAAACAGAGAGGGUAAGGGAAUACUUAGCUAAUUUAAAUGAAUUUAAGUCUCCAGGUCCAGAUGGAUUACAUCCUAGGGUACUGAAGGAAUUAGCAGGGGUUAUUGCUGAACCACUUGCUGUAAUCUUUGAAAAUUCAUGGAGAACAGGAGAAGUCCCAGAUGAUUGGAGAAGGGCAAACGUUGUCCCUAUCUUCAAAAAAGGGAAGAAGGCGGACCCAGGGAACUACAGGCCUGUUAGCCUGACUUCAAUACCAGGAAAGAUUUUUGAACAAAGUAUUAAACAACAUGUAUGCCAGCAUUUGGAUGGGAAUUCAGUAAUUAACCGUAGUCAACAUGGGUUUGUAACAAACAAGUCAUGUCAGACUAAUCUAAUUUCAUUCUAUGACAAAAUCACUGAAUGGGUUGAUCAGGGAAAUGCCAUAGACAUAGUAUAUCUUGACUUCAGCA